This 731-nucleotide long non-coding RNA is filed under the name Dendronephthya gigantea. RNAcentral's name for it is "uncharacterized LOC114542956, transcript variant X3". The record is from RNAcentral. Lineage: Eukaryota; Metazoa; Cnidaria; Anthozoa; Malacalcyonacea; Nephtheidae.
UUUAUAUAUUUGCUGCUGAUUUAAAAUAUAUACACUUAUUUCCCCUAGAAAUAGUCUGCCUAUCAAAAUUCUUGAGAGAUUCUGUUUUAAAAGACACGGUAAAGUUUUAAGUGCGACAGAGUCCCUCCCUCAUUGCUGCUACCGUGCUUUAAAUGACUUUUAAAUACGAAAUGCAAGCAUAUUCUUUGUUUGGCUAUAUGACAAGCCAAGUGCGUGGCCAUGCAAGUUUCUGACAUGGACAUAUUUAUUUUUCUUCUGGAUAAUAUAAUCAUUUAACACAAUUCUCUGUUACCUAGACUGACUGUUUCACAGCACAUUCGUAUACUUUUACAGCAAAUCAUUUUGACUGACUGUUUCACAGCACAUUCGUAUACUUUUACAGCAAAUCAUUUUGACUGACUGUUUCACAGCAGAUUCGUAUACUUUUACAGCAAAUCAUUUUGACCGACUGUUUCACAGCACAUUCGUAUACUUUUACAGCAAAUCAUUUUGGAUGGAACAUGUGAGAAAUCCUUUUGACCUUUGUUACAUUGACCCAUUUAAAAGAUCACUAUUAAGCAAACUUUGACUGAGAGUUUUUUAAUGAUGCAUGUGUUACGAAUCAGUGCAGCGAACGAGUGUACUUAGCGAUCCUUCACAGAGAGGAAAUGAUUAACCGUACAAUAAGGUCCCCACAAUGUAGGGAAAACUUACGCCAUCAGAGGUCCCCACAACGCCAUCUGCGUACGUAU